Sarcophilus harrisii (Tasmanian devil) is the source of this 424-nucleotide long non-coding RNA. RefSeq lists it as uncharacterized. Lineage: Eukaryota; Metazoa; Chordata; Mammalia; Dasyuromorphia; Dasyuridae. The record is from RefSeq and is a predicted model, not a curated record. The transcript has 3 exons.
CAACAGACGCAAAACUCUCCUGCUAAUCGUUAAGUUUGAUACUGCUUCUCUGAGCUCAACAGUCCCACAAACCUGGUUAGGGAGAGCUGACAGAAGACUUGUUUAUCUGAAGUCGCAGAUGUGCGUGCUAACCUCACGGAGUCCAGAGAUAUCAUCCUCCUGUUGGUUUAUCUCAAUGCCAGCCUCUCGUAUCUCAUCCCGUCCUUGGACCCAGCCCCUGUCCAGAGCUACUGCUACAGUAUUAGAUGGUAAAGGAAGAUGGCAGGUUAAGAAAAUACCUUAAUCUAACGAAAAUGAAUCUGUCACAUCAAUAUAAUUUUGGUGGAGCUUUUACUUGGACUAACUAUUCUGAAAAAUGAUCUGGAAUUAUGUGAGCAAACUGACUAAUAUGUUUAAACUCAGAAUCAAAUCUUGACUUAUGAUU